RNAcentral lists this unclassified non-coding RNA (4382 nucleotides) under Hevea brasiliensis (rubber tree). Lineage: Eukaryota; Viridiplantae; Streptophyta; Magnoliopsida; Malpighiales; Euphorbiaceae. The record is from RNAcentral.
GGCUCGUUCGCUCAUGAGAUGAGAAAGAGCUGUCCACUGCCUUUCCCAAAACCCUAGUUACUAAACAAUAACCAUAAACCCAACUCAAUGUCUUGCUACUCAACUAUUUUCCAGUUCUCUAUUAGAACAUCCACAGCUAUGGCUUUGAGAACAACCACAUCGUCUUUUCAUUUUCAUUUCCAUAGAACUCCAAACAUAAGUCCUAGGCACCCAAUUCUAUUUCCAUUGGCAUCUUUUGUUUACCUCAGUAAUCCCCAAAUCCUUGAUUCUAAGCAUGUCUCGUAUGUGCCCCUGGAUUUUAAGCAUCGGGGGACAGUUAGGUGUACUGGUGCUGUUUGUUUUUUAGAGUGGAGGACCGUUGCAUCGCCAUUCUCCUGCCUGCAAAACUCGAAUUAUGGACGGUUUGCAUAUCAUGAGGUUUCUAGUGAUGAUUCGGACCGUGAAUUUGGGUCGUCUUCCUCGCAGUCAGUGAGUGGUUCCACACUUGAUAACAUCGAUGAUUGGAGAUGGAAGUUAACGAUGCUACUUCGCAACAAAGAUGAGCAAGAAGUCGUUUCGAGGGAGAAAAAGGACAGGCGUGAUUUUGAGCAUCUGUCAGCAUUGGCAAAUCGAAUGGGUUUGCAUAGCCAUCAGUAUUCAAGAGUUGUUGUCUUCAGUAAAGUACCUCUGCCAAAUUACAGACCUGAUUUGGAUGACAAGCGACCCCAGAGAGAGGUGAUAUUGCCUUUUGGACUGCAAAGAGAAGUAGAUGCCCAUCUUAAUGCUUACCUUUCCAAAAAGUCCAUGAAAAGGGGAAACUUUUCUGCUAAUUCAUUGUCAAGGUCAAGUGGUGGAAGUAUGGCCACCACUGAAGGACUCUAUGAACAGCCAGAUCCAUUGAUACAGAACAAUGUUGUCAUGGAGAAAAUUAUCCAGCGGAAAAGUUUGAAACUGCAAAAUAAGCAACAAGAAUGGCAGGAAUCUCCUGAGGGCCAAAAGAUGACUGAAUUUCGCCGAAGUCUUCCUGCAUAUAAAGAAAGAGAUGCACUACUAAAAGCCAUUUCUGAAAAUCAGGUGGUGGUUGUCUCAGGUGAAACUGGUUGUGGUAAAACUACACAACUCCCUCAAUACAUACUAGAAUCUGAGAUUGAAGCUGCUUGUGGAGCUACUUGCAGUAUCAUAUGUACUCAGCCCAGAAGAAUAUCUGCUAUGGCUGUGUCUGAAAGAGUUGCGGCAGAGCGAGGAGAAAAACUGGGAGAAUCAGUUGGUUACAAAGUUCGGCUUGAGGGAAUAAAAGGGAGGGACACGCGCCUUCUGUUUUGCACUACUGGCAUAUUAUUGAGGAGAUUACUUGUUGACAGAAAUUUGAAUGGUGUAACCCAUGUUGUUGUUGAUGAGAUUCAUGAACGUGGAAUGAAUGAAGAUUUCCUUCUUAUCAUCCUGAGAGAUCUCCUUCCUCGUCGGCCAGAGUUGAGGUUGAUUCUGAUGAGUGCAACCUUGAAUGCUGAGCUUUUCUCUUCCUACUUUGGUGGUGCUCCAAUGCUCCAUAUUCCAGGUUUUACGUAUCCAGUUCGAGCACAUUUUCUUGAGGAUAUUCUAGAAAUCACUGGAUACCGGUUGACUCCAUAUAACCAAAUUGAUGAUUAUGGUCAAGAUAAGGUUUGGAAAAUGCAAAAACAAACUCAAGCUUUCAGAAAGAGGAAGAGCCAGAUUGCCUCUGCUGUUGAGGAUGCACUUGAAGCUGCCAACUUUAAAGGCUACAGAUUACGUACCCAAGAGUCUUUGUCCUGUUGGAAUCCAGACUCGAUUGGUUUUAAUCUCAUUGAGCAUGUGCUUUCUCACAUAGUCAAGAAAGAGAGGCCUGGUGCUGUGUUGGUUUUUAUGACUGGUUGGGAUGACAUAAAUUCUUUGAAGGAUCAGCUAGCGACUCAUCCUAUCUUGGGUGAUUGUAGCAAAGUAUUGCUACUUGCUUGUCAUGGUUCUAUGGCCAGCUCUGAGCAGAGGUUAAUAUUUGAUAAGCCUGAAGAUGGAGUGCGGAAAAUUGUCCUUGCUACUAACAUGGCUGAGACUAGUAUUACAAUCAAUGACGUGGUCUUUGUGGUUGACUGUGGGAAGGCAAAGGAGACAUCAUAUGAUGCACUAAACAAUACUCCUUGUUUGCUUCCAUCAUGGAUCUCAAAGGCUGCAGCGCGACAAAGAAGAGGAAGAGCUGGUCGUGUUCAACCUGGCGAGUGUUAUCAUCUCUAUCCCAGAUGUGUAUAUGAUGCUUUUGCUGAUUAUCAACUACCAGAACUUUUAAGGACACCAUUGCAGUCUUUGUGCCUGCAAAUCAAAAGUCUCCAACUUGGUGGUAUUUCAGAGUUCCUUUCUAGGGCAUUGCAACCACCGGAACCUCUAUCGGUUCAAAAUGCUGUUGAAUAUUUGAAAGUGAUAGGAGCUUUGGACGAGAAUGAAAAUCUAACAGUGCUAGGACGCCACUUGUCGGUACUUCCAGUUGAGCCUAAGCUUGGGAAAAUGCUCAUAUUAGGGGCCAUUUUCAACUGUCUAGAUCCAGUAAUGACCAUUGUUGCUGGUCUUAGUGUCAGAGAUCCAUUCUUGAUGCCAUUUGACAAGAAGGAUCUUGCGGAGUCUGCCAAAGCACAGUUCUCUGCUCGUGAUUACAGUGACCAUCUUGCCCUUGUCCGAGCAUAUGAUGGUUGGAGAGAUGCUGAAAGACAACAAUCUGGUUAUGAGUACUGUUGGAGAAAUUUUCUAUCUGCGCAAACUAUGAGAGCCAUUGAUUCUCUUCGGAAGCAAUUCUUUUUCUUGCUCAAGGAUACUGGUCUCAUUGAUCAGAAAAAAGAGGAGUGCAGCAUGUGGAGCCAUGAUGAGCAUCUUAUCCGAGCAGUCAUCUGUGCUGGCUUGUUCCCUGGGAUAUGUUCUGUUGUGAACAAGGAUAAGUCUAUAGCAUUGAAAACAAUGGAGGAUGGUCAAGUACUUCUGUAUUCGGUAAGUUUCUUAUUUUUAAGCACUUGUUCUCUGCAGCUUGUUUUAGUAGAGGACACCACAGCAUUCAAAAUUUUGACUACUAUUUUUUAUUCUGGCUAUGAAUUGCAAACAACAGAAUUCUGUGAAUGCUGGGGUACACAAAAUUCCAUACCCGUGGUUAGUUUUUAAUGAAAAAGUGAAAGUGAAUUCUGUGUUUCUCCGGGAUUCUACUGGUGUAUCUGAUUCUGUGUUGCUUUUAUUCGGAGGAGACCUUUCAAGAGGUGGACUGGAUGGACACCUAAAAAUGUUGGGAGGAUACUUGGAAUUUUUUAUGGUACCUGCCUUGGGAAAUACAUAUCUAAGCUUGAAGAGAGAGCUUGAGGAACUAAUUCGGAAGAAACUUCAAGACCCCAACUUGGAUAUACAAUCUGACAAUGAGCUCUUGAUGGCAAUAAGAUUACUGGUUUCACAGGAUCAAUGUGAGGGUAAAUUUGUAUUUGGUCGCCAGCUGCCAGCACCUUCACAGAAGGCAAUGAAAGAUGCAAUGACUGGCAAACAGCCAUAUGAUAAUUCUAAAAAUGAGCUACAAACUUUGCUUGUCAGGGCUGGACAUGGAGCACCCUCCUAUAAGACAAAACAACUGAAAAACAACCAGUUUCGCUCCACUGUGAUCUUUAAUGGGUUGGACUUUGUGGGGCAGCCUUGCAGUAGUAAAAAACUUGCAGAAAAGGAUGCUGCCGCUGAGGCUCUGCUGUGGUUGAAGGGUGAGGUCCAUUCAUCCUCAAGAGAUAUUAACCAUGUGUCUAUGCUUUUAAAGAAGGGUAAAAGAAAAAGCCAAAACAAGACUCCAGUUCAUGGUGGUAAAUGGAGUUAAGGUGAUGCUAUUAGACGAAGGGAUAGAGUAUCAUACUUAUUAUUCACAAAAGGAAGAAACUAGCCAGCAAGGAGGAACACAGCUUCUGGUCCUUGCUGAAAUUUUGGUCAUUUGGAAUGGCCCAAACAAACCUUCCAGUUUUGGGGUCACAAGCCAAAAUGAAAAGCAGGUUUGAUAAAAUCCAUGGCAUUUUUCACUAUGCUUGUCUUUGGAAGGCUAUAUUUCAAAUGCUGAAGAUGGAGCAUCAGCUGGCAGAGUUGAUGAUAACAGAAAAUUGCCAUGCCUCGGAACAAAGAUCUCAUUGUUCUAAAUGCAUUGCUUCAUCAAUUAACGAGUACCCGAAUCAUUUUUACCAGAGCAUAGAAAGUGUACACCAUAUUCAUUGAUCAAUAUUCCAUUAACUAGUGUAAAUUGUUAAUGCCACACAUAGUAAAGUUAAAUGAAGGAAGCCUUUGCCUCCCCGCCUGCAUCAGAUAUUCUGGUUCAACUUGCACUGCAGCAUGUGGGAUUCCAGAGAAUUUACCUAUAGUUGUACAUUAUUAAUAGUUGAUGUGCUUUUUAU